UCAUGGNCUCAGAUUGAACGCUGGCGGCAGGCCUAACACAUGCAAGUCGAGCGGUAGCACAGAGAGCUUGCUCUCGGGUGACGAGCGGCGGACGGGUGAGUAAUGUCUGGGAAACUGCCUGAUGGAGGGGGAUAACUACUGGAAACGGUAGCUAAUACCGCAUAAUGUCGCAAGACCAAAGUGGGGGACCUUCGGGCCUCAUGCCAUCAGAUGUGCCCAGAUGGGAUUAGCUUGUAGGUGGGGUAACGGCUCACCUAGGCGACGAUCCCUAGCUGGUCUGAGAGGAUGACCAGCCACACUGGAACUGAGACACGGUCCAGACUCCUACGGGAGGCAGCAGUGGGGAAUAUUGCACAAUGGGCGCAAGCCUGAUGCAGCCAUGCCGCGUGUGUGAAGAAGGCCUUCGGGUUGUAAAGCACUUUCAGCGGGGAGGAAGGCGGUGAGGUUAAUAACCUCAUCGAUUGACGUUACCCGCAGAAGAAGCACCGGCUAACUCCGUGCCAGCAGCCGCGGUAAUACGGAGGGUGCAAGCGUUAAUCGGAAUUACUGGGCGUAAAGCGCACGCAGGCGGUCUGUCAAGUCGGAUGUGAAAUCCCCGGGCUCAACCUGGGAACUGCAUUCGAAACUGGCAGGCUAGAGUCUUGUAGAGGGGGGUAGAAUUCCAGGUGUAGCGGUGAAAUGCGUAGAGAUCUGGAGGAAUACCGGUGGC
This 709-nucleotide ribosomal RNA is filed under the name Klebsiella pneumoniae. RNAcentral describes it as "bacterial SSU rRNA". It matches the Rfam family "Bacterial small subunit ribosomal RNA", at positions 17 to 716 of the family's 1533-position model. The record is from RNAcentral. Lineage: Bacteria; Pseudomonadati; Pseudomonadota; Gammaproteobacteria; Enterobacterales; Enterobacteriaceae.